CCAGAGGGCCGGGCGGCCGCGGCUCCGCGCAAGCGGGGACGAGGAAAGUCCGGGCUCCACGGAACGACGGUGCCGGGUAACGCCCGGCGGGUUUUGCUUUGGCAGGGCUCAGGGAUAGUGCCACAGAAAGGAUACCGCCCGGGACCAGGGUAACUUGGGGCCGGGUAAGGGCGAAAGGGGGCGGCAAGAGCGCACCGCGGGACUGGCAACAGGACCGGCACGGUAAACCCCACCGGGAGCAAGACCGAAUAGGGGCGGCAAAUGGGCCUGUUCCGGCUCGUCGCCCGGGUUGGUUGCUUGAGGGGCAGGGUAACCUGUCUCCUAGAGGAAUGGCCGCACAUCCGCCGGCGCCCUAGCGGCUAUGGCGGAGGACAGAACCCGGCUUACAGGCCCUCUGGCGUU
RNAcentral lists this RNase P RNA (402 nucleotides) under Pseudomonadota bacterium. RNAcentral's name for it is "RNase P RNA component class A". It matches the Rfam family "Bacterial RNase P class A". From Rfam's summary of the family: Ribonuclease P (RNase P) is a ubiquitous endoribonuclease, found in archaea, bacteria and eukarya as well as chloroplasts and mitochondria. Its best characterised activity is the generation of mature 5'-ends of tRNAs by cleaving the 5'-leader elements of precursor-tRNAs. Lineage: Bacteria; Pseudomonadati; Pseudomonadota. The record is from RNAcentral.